AAAACCAAAUUAAUGAACCAAAAUCCCAGCAGUUCGUCCGCACCGCCUAAAUAAGUAAAUAUCCCACGUUCUCCAUCUUCCUCCUCCUCCCACCACGAUUUCCAUAGUUAAGGAUCGAGUUUCCAAUCGAAAGAGUUCAAUCUAAAUCCAAAUCCAAAAGUUCAAUCCCAAUCUAUGUUGACUCAAAUCGAAAUUUCCCAAAUCCAAAAUUACAGUGUUUCAAUCCAAAUCCAGAUGUUUUCGUAUUUAGCUUCUUCUCCGGCGAACGUUUCUCGGCGGCGACAAUUAUCUGGCGAAUGUAUUUCCCGGCUGCGCGUGGUUAACUAUCAAGUGUGUAAUUUUAAUGGACCAUUGGAUGUAUGAGGUUGGGUUCUGUUGAGAAUUUGCUGGACUUGAGUAUUUGAAACUCCCACGAGACCAUUUGUCAAGCAUGCCUUCGUAGCCGCACCUUACUGGCCUUGUGUGUCUGCAAUCCCAGUGAGCUUGUUAGCCUGUCUUCUUAGCACCGUAUAAUGAUGAUCCUCUAAACAAUGAAAAUUACAAGGGCACACGAAAAGGAGUUCAAGUUGAUUUGCGUAAGACUAUAGACAUAGCACUUUUUGGUUUUCGAACCGAAAAGGGAUUGUUGAAGAAAAUUAAAAUGAGCACCAAGUGGAUACAGAUACAAGUAAUUGAUUGUAUUUUGCCUGUGUAGUGUCCUCGGCAAAAGAAUGUCUUGGAUUCUGGAUAUUAUGUCAUGAGAUACAUGAAAGAGAUCAUCGACCAUAAGCAAACUCGAAUAUUUGAAGAUUACUUUCAUGAUUGCAAUGUUCCGAAUUAUAAUCAAGGACAAAUUGAUGAAGUCAGAGCUCAAUGGACGCGUCAUGUUCUUCUCAUGUGAAUAUUGUGAUGUAUUAAUUAUGUUUUUCGAAUAGAAUUUCUCUAGAACGUUUUAAUUUUAUUUUAUUGGUUUGAAAUUGAAAGAAGUACUAUAUGACAAGGAUACUUCUUUCUGUUUUGUAGUGUGUUUUUAUUCUACUGUGUAUUUAGGCAUAUAUGAUUUUAAGUUAUGUACGAGACACCGAGAAAUUUAUUUGAUAUGAUAGAAAUGAAGUUGGGUCUUAUAUGUA
Spinacia oleracea (spinach) is the source of this 1109-nucleotide long non-coding RNA. RefSeq lists it as uncharacterized. NCBI's taxonomy places the organism in Eukaryota, Viridiplantae, Streptophyta, Magnoliopsida, Caryophyllales, Amaranthaceae. The record is from RefSeq and is a predicted model, not a curated record. The transcript is spliced from 5 exons.